ACAAAGCAGAUUGUGAGCAGCACAAAUGAAGAGGAUAAGGUUAUCGUCUUUGAGCGUGGGGAUCUGGUUUUUGUAUUCAAUUUUCAUCCGGAGAAUACAUAUGAUGGGUACAAGGUUGGGUGUGACUUGCCAGGAAAGUAUAGAGUUGCAUUGGAUAGUGAUGAUUGGGAAUUUGGUGGACUUGGAAGAGUGGGCCAUGAUGUGGACCAUU
This 211-nucleotide unclassified non-coding RNA is filed under the name Hevea brasiliensis (rubber tree). The record is from RNAcentral. Lineage: Eukaryota; Viridiplantae; Streptophyta; Magnoliopsida; Malpighiales; Euphorbiaceae.